UCUCCAAUCUAAUAUGUUGCUGUGGGUAUUUCAGCUCCAGUGAGGACUCUGCAAAUCACCAUCUCCAGAGCUAACAGGAGUGACCCCCAGCUAUUCCAAGGUAUCGCUAGGGGGUGGGGAGUGGGGCACGGGGCCUUUCCCCUCUAGGGGGGCCGGCCCUGAUCAGGCCUCCAGGCAGGGACUGGUUGGCUCAGGCUGCGUGUGGCUCUGUGUUAUUUCUAUUCCCAGAUCCCGGCACCCCGGUGGGGAACGGGUCACAGAUCACGGCCCAGGAGGGCGACUCCCUGCGGUUCCUCUGCUCCAUCUCCAGCAGCCUCCCUGCCACGCUGGCCUGGGUGAGGGGGGGCCGAGCCAUCGAGGGCACCCGCCCCGCGGGGGAAAAUCAGCUGCGACUGGAGCUGCCCAACAUCACAGCCGAGGACGGGGGGCUGUACGGGUGCUGGGCCCAGAGAGAGAAGAUCUCUGCCCAGGGGACGUUCCAGCUGCUCAUCGAGUACAGCCCCUAGCUGGGGACUGCGCUGAAGACGUCCUGCCAGCACCAGGGGCCCAGCAUCAGCUGCAGUUGCCCCCUGCGCUCCCAACCCCCACCUUGGCUCCAAUGGCAGGUGGACGGGGAGCCCGUGGCUGGGAACGGCUCUCGGGGGGCCCUGCAGGUCAGCUCGUGGGCCCAGGGGGAUGAGGCUGUCAGCGCCCUGAGUUGGACGGGAAGUGGGGACUGGGACCGGGAUCUUCUGCCUCCGCUCCAACAUCCACAGGAUGUACGCUGUACUGCUGAGCCCACCGGAAACAUGUUUGAGCGCUUCCCCACUAGGGGAUGUGAGCUCUGAUCUUGCCCCAGGGAGGGGAUUGACUGGCUUUUGUGGGGAGGUGGGCGGACAUUGGGCCACAGGACCUUUCCCCCUCCAGGAAUCACUGGCUCCAACCUGGCCCCAGGGCAGGGGCUGUCUGGCUUAGACAGGGGUUGCAGGGAUCUAUCCCAGACUCUCGGCUUCUUCCAGCUCCCACAGGUGGCCUCACUUGGGUGUUUAUCGAAAUCAGCUGCAAACUCGUGUUCAUGGCAACUGGAUUCAUCCUGGCCUAUUACCUCACCCUGCUCUAUUACAGACGGUAACUCAGCUACUAACCCACCUACUGAUCUGCCCACCUAUGUACCUACCUACUCAUAUACCUACCCACCGUUCUACCCACCUAUGUACCCACCUAGCUACCAACCCACUGACCGACCCAUCUACCCAUCUACCACGUUGCCUAGAUACCUACCUACAACUUA
This 1270-nucleotide long non-coding RNA is filed under the name Chrysemys picta bellii (western painted turtle). RNAcentral's name for it is "lncRNA (ENSCPBG00000006599.1)". Lineage: Eukaryota; Metazoa; Chordata; Testudines; Emydidae. The record is from RNAcentral.